This 503-nucleotide ribosomal RNA is filed under the name uncultured bacterium. RNAcentral describes it as "partial 16S ribosomal RNA". It matches the Rfam family "Bacterial small subunit ribosomal RNA", at positions 30 to 523 of the family's 1533-position model. The record is from RNAcentral.
AUUGAACGCUGGCGGCAGGCCUAACACAUGCAAGUCGAGCGGGGUGAUGGUGCUUGCACUAUCACUUAGCGGCGGACGGGUGAGUAAUGCUUAGGAAUCUGCCUAUUAGUGGGGGACAACAUCUCGAAAGGGAUGCUAAUACCGCAUACGUCCUACGGGAGAAAGCAGGGGAUCACUUGUGACCUUGCGCUAAUAGAUGAGCCUAAGUCGGAUUAGCUAGUUGGUGGGGUAAAGGCCUACCAAGGCGACGAUCUGUAGCGGGUCUGAGAGGAUGAUCCGCCACGCUGGGACUGAGAGACGGCCCAGACUCCUACGGGAAGCAGCAGUGGGGAAUAUUGGACAAUGGGGGGAACCCUGAUCCAGCCAUGCCGCGUGUGUGAAGAAGGCCUUAUGGUUGUAAAGCACUUUAAGCGAGGAGGAGGCUCUUUUGGUUAAUACCCAAGAUGAGUGGACGUUACUCGCAGAAUAAGCACCGGCUAACUCUGUGCCAGCAGCCGCGGUAA